This 225-nucleotide unclassified non-coding RNA is filed under the name plant metagenome. RNAcentral describes it as "partial contains small subunit ribosomal RNA, internal transcribed spacer 1, and 5.8S ribosomal RNA". The record is from RNAcentral.
AUUCCGUAGGUGAACCAGCGGAGGGAUCAUUACAGGACUCGCAAGACUCCUACAACCCUGUGAACUUAACUAUAAGCACGUUGCUUCGGCGGGUGUCUCGGAGGGGGUUCUCCCUCCCCGAGACGCUAAACCCGCCGGCAGCCUACUAUACUCUGUCUCUUUGCGUUGGCAUCUCGAGUACAAUCAAACAAGUUAAAACUUUCAACAACGGAUCUCUUGGUUCUG